RNAcentral lists this long non-coding RNA (3718 nucleotides) under Salmo salar (Atlantic salmon). Its description in RNAcentral is "lncRNA (ENSSSAG00000083829.1)". The record is from RNAcentral. Lineage: Eukaryota; Metazoa; Chordata; Actinopteri; Salmoniformes; Salmonidae.
AUCCUCUAAAUCACUCUGGUGACAAACAAACUUUGCUUCCCUGUUUCCAAUUGUCCACAAGGCUGGGUGAACCUAUUCAAGUAAUUAAAUACAUUUCGAAAAUGUAAAAUAAACAAUGUAUUAUUACCUAACUAGCUACAGUGCAGGCUAACUCAAAUGAGCUGCUAAAUGAGCUAGGCUAGCUAGCUAUCUAGCCAACUUCACAUACUGUAUAGAUAGGUAGCUGGUGAUAUUUCAUUAUUAAGGUAGCUAACUUCAUAUUAGCUAGUUAUCUAUAUGUAUUUAUCACUGUAUAAAACAAACUCCAAAUGCAUUUCUAGGUAGCUAGCUAAGAGCCACGGAGAAGGAUGAAAGGAUAAUAGCCCCAACUGUCAAAAUGAGAGAGUAGGCUAUUCUGGAUAGGGCAGGUACUUUUGUGUAAUUCCUAUCCCUAGAAGUAUGGACGGAGAUAAUGGUAACAUACUAACAGUGCAGUGUAAUUUCAGUAUAAUGAAGUCUGUUGUGAGGUUUUCUCUUUAGAUUUAUUUUAUUUAUUUCACCUUUAUUUAACCAGGUAGGCAAGUUGAGAACAAGUUCUCAUUUACAAUUGCGACCUGGCCAAGAUAAAGCAAAGCCGUUCGACAUAUACAACAACACAGAGUUACACAUGGAGUAAAACAAACAUACAGUCAAUAAUACAGUAGAAAAAUAAGUCUAUAUACAAUGUGAGCAAAUGAGGUGAGAUAAGGGAGGUAAAGGCAAAAGGCCAUGGUGGCAAAGUAAAUACAAUAUAGCAAGUAAAACACUGGAAUGGUAGAUUUGUAGUGGAAGAAAGUGCAAAGUAGAAAUAGACAUAAUGGGGUGCAAAGGAGCAAAAUAAAUAAAUACAGUAGGGGAAGAGGUAGUUGUUAGGGCUAAAUUAUAGAUGGGCUAUGUACAGGUGCAGUGAUCUGUGAGCUGCUCUGACAGAUGGUGCUUAAAGCUAGUGAGGGAGAUAAGUGUUUCCAGUUUCAGAGAUUUUUGUAGUUCGUUCCAGUCAUUGGCAGCGGAGAACUGUAAGGAGAGACGGCCAAAGGAGGAAUUGGCUUUUGGGGGGACCAGAGAGAUAUACCUGCUGGAGCGCGUGCUACAGUUGGAGGCCACGGAAGGAGAGUUGUAUGGCAUUGAAGCUCGUCUGGAGGGUAGUUAACACAGUGUCCAAAGAAGGGCCAGAAGCAGAAUGGUGUCGUCUGCGUAGAGGUGGAUCAAAGACUCACCAGCAGCAAGAGCGACAUCAUUGAUGUAUACAGAGAAAAGAGUUGGCCCAAGAAUUGAACCCUGUGGCACCCCCAUAGAGACUACCAGAGGCCCGGACAACAGGCCCUCCGAUUUGACACAUUGAACUCUAGAUAAAGAGAGCUAUGACAGCCUGUCUACAUAUGAAGAGGUCCCAAUGAAGAGCAGCGGUUCUCAGUCCUGGUCCUGGGAACUCAAAGAGUUACCUUGUAACUGGAGAUUCCUUCAAAACGAUUGCCUACAGUUAGUGUAGGACACAGCAAGGUUGGGUGACCAGGGCCAUCUGGGACUGCCUCCUGGAGGAAUUCAGGUGUGUGAAGGCUACCUGUGUUCUGCAUAACUUCCUGAGGAUGGACACAAGGACAAGGAGGGGAUCUGCAGCUCGCCGCUGUGUGCCUGAUGAGAAGUCUGCUGCUCUGCAGGAUGUUUCAAGGAUGGGGUCCAACAACGCAGCAAGAGAAGCAAUCUGUGUGUGGGAGAUAUUCAUCUCCUACUUCUUCAAAGAGGGUGCUGUUCCAUGGCAACACCAUAGACUACACUAUGCACAACCAAAGGCUUUUUUAAGUCAUCCACAUUGCAACAAGAGUAUUAUUCCAUUUACUUAGCUAUGUCAACUGCAGUUAUUCAAUUCUUAGUUUCUCUCCCUUUGAUUUCUACUUCUCAGAAGCUGUAAUGUCUGUACAAAAACAUAACAUGCUAUUUUAAAUCACCCAUAUUGAAAAAAUGUAGAACAAUUAGACACCCUAUAACCCACACCUAAACACUCAUAAUCAGGCUCAUGUGUAUAACUGUGGCUCCUUCCACCUUCAUAUAAUAGGCAAGAAGGCCAACCAUGGAGAAUAGUAAGACACUUAAUUAUUUCUAUAACUACGCUAUAUUGUUUGUGCUUGUGUCCGUUCAUGUUUUUCAGUAUUAAGUACUCUGCAGCCACUUAGUGUGGACACCAGGUGAGGCCACACACAGAUUCCAGUUGAACACCUUUAACUACCCUAUUUUGUCAACUCUCUCCUUCAAUCUUUUCAGUCUCCUGAGGGGGAAUAGGUUUUGUCGUGCCCCCUUCACGGCUGUCUUGGCCUGCUUGGACCAUGUUAGUUUGUUGAUGUGGACGCCAAGGAACUUGAAGCUCUCAACCUGCUCCACUACAGCCCUGUCGAUGAGAAUGGGGGUGUGCUCAGUCCUCCUUUUCCUGUAGUCCACAAUCAUCUCCUUUGUCUUGAUCACGUUGAGGGAGAGGUUGUUGUCCUUCCACCACACGAUCAGGUCUCUUACCUCCUCCCUAUAGGCUGUCUCAUCGUUGUCUGUGUUCAGGCCUACCACUUGUGUCAUCAGCACACUUAAUGAUGGUGUUGGAGUCAUGCCUGGCCGUGCAGUGGACAGGGAGUACAGGAGGGAACUGAGCACACACCCCUGAGGUGCCCCCUUGUUAAGGAUCAGCGUGGUGGAUGUGUUGUUACCUACUCUUACCACCUGGGGGCAGCCUGUCAGGAAGUCCAGGAUCCAGUUGCAGAGGGAGAUGUUUAGUCUCCGGGUCCUUAGCUUGGUGAUGAGCUUUGAGGGCACUAUGGUGUUGAACACAGAACUGUAGUCAAUGAAUAGCAUUCUCACAUAGGUGUUGCUUUUGUCCAGGUGGGAAAGGGCAGUGUGGAGUGCAAUAGAGAUUGCGUCAUCUGUGGAUCUGUUCAUGCAGUAUGCAAAUUGGAGUAGGUCUAGGGUUUCUGGGAUAAUGGUGUUGAUGUGAGCCAUGACCAGCCUUUCAAAGCAUUUCAUGGCUACGGGUUGUUAGUCAUUUAGGCAGGUUACUGUAGUCCCUGUGCCCCAGAACACUAUGGUGGUCUGCUUGAAACAUGUUGGUAUUAGAGACUCAGACAGGGAGAGGUUGAAAAUGUCAGUGAAGACACUUGCCAGUUGGUCAGCACAUGCUGGAAGUACAUGUCCUGGUAAUUCGUCUGGCCCAGCGGCCUUGUGAAUGUUAACAUGUUUAAAAGUCUCUCACAUCGGCUGCCGGAGAGCGUGAUCACAGUCUUCCGGAAUAGCUGAUGCUCUCAUGCAUGUUUAAGUGUUACUUGCCUGGAAGCGAGCAUAGAAGUUAUUUAGCUCGUCUGGUAGGCUCGUGUCACUGGGCAGCUUUCGGCUGUGAUUCCCUUUGUAAUAGUUUGCAAGAACUUCUUUCAAUAAAGUGUUUCACAGUCUCUGCUGGUUGAAAUACUACACUUAUCCUGUGUUUAUCAGAUCAAUGCAGAUGAAGGAAAUGAGUUCUCAUUCUUUCUGUGUAUAUGAAUUAAAAAUCAGCCUUUAACUAGUUAAACCGUUUCUAGUCUAUUAGUUACAAUGUGUAACCAUUGAUGUCUCAGGACCAAGAUUGGUAAACACUGAAGUGUAUAAUUGUAAUACAAACUCAGCAAAAAAAGAAAUGUCCCUUUUCCAGGACCCUGUCUUUCAAAGAUAACUUGUAAAAAUCCCCCCC